Globicephala melas (long-finned pilot whale) is the source of this 3418-nucleotide long non-coding RNA. RefSeq lists it as uncharacterized. NCBI's taxonomy places the organism in Eukaryota, Metazoa, Chordata, Mammalia, Artiodactyla, Delphinidae. The record is from RefSeq and is a predicted model, not a curated record.
UUCCUGAAAAAACGGGGGGAUCUGAGGACCCCAAAUUUGGGGAGCUAGUCCAGAACCGUCCAGCCAACAUCCUAGAUUUUUUUGGGAUUUUUUGGGGCCCCCGGGACCCCUCUAGAUGGGGUGAGGAAUGUAGUGUUGGGGGAAUCUGACUGGGGCAUUGCAGCUGCCUCUCCCGCCGAGUUGGAGACGGAUGGGCUGGGACGGGUUUGGGGGGGGGUGUCCCCAAUUCUGACUGGGAGUGGAGGAGCCCCCUCAUGUGCUCUCUUGUGGGGGUCCCCCCUCCCUAGGGCACUCCCCACUCCCUGAGCCAGCCGAGAGGAAGGAGGCCAGCGAUGCGACUGGGGCGGCUCCUUUCUCCUGCACCCCAAAUGUGAGGGAUGCACCCCAAAUUUUGUUCCCUUCAAAAUAGGGGACCAGGAUCUCAGGGGAGAGUAGCUGAGGGUCCUCGUUUUCCUGAAGCCUUGCAGUCACUUAGGGCAAAUGGAGCCUGAAGAGUGGAGUCCAACUGAGAGUGGGAAAGGCCCGUCUUCUACUUCUCUUCUGGGAGAGAUGUAUGAAUGUGGAAGGCUACCAGUUCUCCAGGGACUUUGUUGCUAACAAAACUAGCAACAAAGUAGGAAAGAUGUUGAGCUGGAAGGGAGUUUGAGGAAGAUGGAACAAUGGGUAUGGAGGAAGAAAGCUGCCCACCCGCCCUUUCUCUGCCAGCCAACCCUCCCUCACACUGUCCGUUCCUUGAUGACACAGCUGAUGUGAUUAAGAUCGUCCCCAAAUCGCUUCACAGCAGCCCUCAGCAUCUCUAUCUCCGUCUCCGUCCACUUGGCACUGUCAGAAGGGGAGAAGGGAAUAGCGAAAGUGGGAGGAAGAGGGGUGUGGAGCCAGCCCACAGGCUACGCAUUCCACAGCAACCAGCCUCCUCCCCGCGAUGCCUGGGGCCCCUUGCAUAAAGAGGUCCUCCUUAAAAAAACAAAAACAAAAGCAAAAAAGAAAAUUUUUAAGGCGCCGUGGGAACCCUGCGGACCCCCAACCACACGAUAUUGAAACAACCGCCACCUUAGAAGAAAACUUCUCCCCCAUCAACGUGAAACAGCUGCUUAUGUAAACAGCCCACUGAAACCCAUCCAACAAGUGGGGGUCUUACAGACAGAGCCUCUAAACACAGUCUGCUGCAGUCUGACAGAAUUCCACAUGAUUUGGGGGGUGGUGUGGUGUGGGUAGUGGUGGCGGUCUAUGGUCUACCAGUUCGCAGCAGGGCAGGGCUGUGAAAUGAGUCCGGAUUAUGAGCCUCGGUCUGUGGUUUAUCUGUCAUUCAUUCAUUCAACAAUCAUUUAUUAACACCUACUCUGCGCUGUGCCAGGCACAAAGGGAAACUAACAUCUGUCCCUGCCCUAGAGAGUGUCGGUGUCUGUGAUCGAGACCCAGCGUCCGCUCUCAGCGUCCAUCUCCCAGCCCGGGCUCACGUACCCCGCGGGGGAAGAGUCGGCCACGGGAUGCAGCUGCAUGGUCAGCUCCCCGAGCUUCGUGAAGGCGGCGCCCGCCGCGGAGAAGAUCUCUCCGACCUGGGGGGCGGGGCAGCAUUACGGGGGGCCGGCGCACAGUGCCGCGCCGGACCGCCCGGAGCCCCUAGCCCCACCCCAGGCUGGACUCCCGCCCGCCCCUCGCCCGGGAUGGAAGAGCCGGGAGCCAACUUGGGGGCCCCGCCCUCCCGUGGCCGCCAGGGAGCGCUGUCCGCGAGGGAGGUCGAACCUUUGUAGACGCUGACGUCAUGGCCCCGCGCGCCUCCUCACGGAGACGUUGCUGCCGCCGCUACCUCGGAGCCGGGACCACGGAGAGCAGGGCGAUCGAACGGCUCCAGCCCCCGCGCAGGAAGUCCCGCCCCUUCCCGCAGCUGAUUGGCUCCAGCUCGGCCGCUCACCGCCUGACCGCCUCGGCGCGCGGGAAGGAGAGUGGAAGACACCGCCUCGCUUCCGGCCCGGCUUCACUCCACUUCCGUCGAGGGGUCGGGACUCCCUAUUUGGAGUCCGAGCUCCAGCCCGGAUGCCUGCCCCGCAACCCAUGCACACACACGAGGCUUAAGAGAGCAGUUUCUCUUUAUUGUGUAACGAGACAAGGCGAGGGGGCCGGAGGGACAGGGAACGGCCAGCCCCGACCUCCCUCCACUGGAGCCGGGCGCCAGAGGUUGAAGAACAAGGGAUUCAGUCUAUCGCCAGGGAAACCCAGUCCGCAGAGGGCGCCAGACUGGGGGUGGGGGGGUGUGACUGGGUGGGGAGAGUCUUUAAAUAGAGGAGGGGGCUGGAGAGGGGGAACGCGACGGUGCUCUAGCGCACCAUGUAUUCCUUGCGCUUAUUGAGCCGAACUUGGCAGAAAGAGAAGCCUCCGAGGAGGAGGUAAAGGCCCGCGGCGAUGAAACAGUUGUAGCUGACUUGCUCGUAAAGGUUGUAUAUGUUCUGGGGGCCAUUCCUAGGGGUGGGGAUUAGGCAGAGAAAUAUCGGAAACAUUAUUAACAGCAGCCAACAUUUACAGAGCACUUACUAUGUGCCGGGUAACCGUUCUAAACGCUUUUACGUGUAUUAUCUUAAUCUUCAUAACCCUAUGGGGUGAGUUCUGUUAUAGCAUACACUUUGCAUAGGUGGAGGAGGCACAGAGAAAUCAAGGAAAAUACCUAAAGAAGCCACACCUAAAGCGAUGGGUUUAGGAUGGCCGCUGAGGUCUGACUCCCAAGACUGCUCCUGUGCGCGCUAAACAGAGCAGCCAGUUCCCUAGCCUCUGGGCCCCAAGCAUCCAGCCUCCUGCAAUUCCCCGCCCAUAAUUCUGACCACUUCCCCCGCCUCUCCACUUACUCAAAAUCUUUCUCCGUUAAGGGAACGUCUUCAAUUAGCACAGCGGAAUGGACAUUGAAAAAGAUUCCGAGCAUUAUCUGCAAAAAGGGAAAGGGUAGGUUGUUGAACUCAGGCACCUGACCUGGUCACUGCCUGAACUCCUCCCACUUCGAAUGUUGCCACAACAUCUGGGUAUGGGAAUUACCAGAAUGAGCUGGGAUUAGGGAUGCCUGUUGCCGGAUUUGGACUCCAGUCACCCGGAACAGGGCAUGAAUGGUGACAUAGAGAAGACUUGGCUGGGGCAAGGGUUAGGAAUAAUGAGCAACCAGGAACCAGAUUUUCAUCCUCUCCAGAGGCGUCAUUAUCACGGGACAGGGAGGAGGGGGUCAAAGGGAAUCGGCACUUCUCCAUAUUACUUUUUCCUGAAGUGGGUCGGGUAGAGUCCUCGGGAAACAAGGCCCAGCUAUCCAUUUCGGGAACAAGCUCUCCCUUUCCCCACUGCCCUCCAUUCAGCUCAAGGAUCUCUCAAGAACGUAGCUCUUCUUCCUCCUACCUUGAGGGUACUCCAAAUUGACCAGCCCCCGGGCCCAUUCCAAGCUUCA